Molecule: long non-coding RNA, 231 nt
Filed under: Elaeis guineensis (African oil palm)
Lineage: Eukaryota; Viridiplantae; Streptophyta; Magnoliopsida; Arecales; Arecaceae
Description: long non-coding RNA (EGUI_LNC011424)
Source: RNAcentral
GGGAAGGAAGAGAGGAAGGAGGAUUGGGGCUUACCUCAAACUCCGAUGAGAUCUCCGACGAGAAUUUGAGGCAAACACGAGAAGGGCGUGGACAGCUUCAAUGAAAAAAUCUAAAAUAAAGAAGAGGAAGAAACUAGUGCUCCUCGUGGCCGACCAUGGAAGAGGAAGAGAGAAUUUUAUAGAGGUAUUUUUAGGGUUUCUAGUGGCCUUAGGAGUCCUUAUUCUAGUUGG